GAGUCUCGCUCUGUCAGUCAGG
Molecule: microRNA, 22 nt
Filed under: Macaca mulatta (Rhesus monkey)
Lineage: Eukaryota; Metazoa; Chordata; Mammalia; Primates; Cercopithecidae
Description: mml-miR-7174-3p (MIR7174)
Source: RNAcentral